AAUGAACGCUGGCGGCAUGCCUAACACAUGCAAGUCGAACGAGGGGCGGACGGGUGAGUAAUGUGUGGGAAAUUGCCUGAUGGAGGGGGAUAACUACUGGAAACGUUAGCUAAUACCGCUUAGCAUCCGCUGUGCCCAGAUGGGAUUAGCGAGUAGGUGGGGGAAAGGCUUACCUAGGCGACGAUCCCUAGCUGGUCUGAGAGGAUGACCAGCCACACUGGAACUGAGACACGGUCCAGACUCCUACGGGAGGCAGCAGUGGGGAAUCUUGCGCAAUGGGCGAAAGCCUGACGCAGCCAUGCCGCGUGUAUGAAGAAGGCCUUCGGAUUGUAAAGCACUUUUAGCGGGGAGGCGUUACCCGCUGAAAAAGCCCCGGCUAACUCCGUGCCAGCAGCCGCGGUAAUUC
RNAcentral lists this ribosomal RNA (406 nucleotides) under uncultured bacterium. RNAcentral describes it as "partial 16S ribosomal RNA". It matches the Rfam family "Bacterial small subunit ribosomal RNA", at positions 29 to 526 of the family's 1533-position model. The record is from RNAcentral.